Molecule: transfer RNA, 78 nt
Filed under: Olea europaea (common olive)
Lineage: Eukaryota; Viridiplantae; Streptophyta; Magnoliopsida; Lamiales; Oleaceae
Description: tRNA-Gln
Source: RNAcentral
UAUGGCUCUGGGACGGAAGGAUUCGAACCUCCGAAUAGCGGGACCAAAACCCGUUGCCUUACCACUUGGCCACGCCCC